AGGGCCCGGGGGCCUUGUCUCCUCUGUGACAGGACAUGGCAUUGUCCUUUUCUGGGACUAAUUAGCUCCCAUGUCAUUUUGCCCUGUUUUGUCUUCCUUCUGCCCCCAGCAUAGCAAAUUCAUGAUAGGUGGUAAAAGGAAUGAAUCUCUACUUGCAGUCUCUGUGAAUGUCCCUACCCAACCUCCUCCUCCCCUCCCCUCUCCUCUUUAUGCAGGUGCUCCCCUUUUCUGUUCAAGUUUCCCUGGAACCAAGUCUGUGAGCUAUUUUGGGGUCUCUCUUCUCUGGAGGAACUUCUCUGUCCAUGUUGCCAUGCAUUCAGCACGCAGUAGGUGUUCAAUAAAUUGUUCCUGGAUCUGUCCACGGUGCUGAAUGUCUUUAUCCUUCUUGCCACUGCCUGCCUCAGAAUGGCUACUUCUAGAAGGGGAAGUUAGCCACCAUGGCAAGAGUACCCUUAUGGAGAGGCUUGCGUAAAAACUAAACCCUUUGACCAACUGCCAGCAAAAAAUGGUUGCCUGACAACAACCACAGAGUGAGACUGGAAGUGGAUCCCCGUUAAGCCUUCUGAUGACUGCAGCCCUGGCUGACACUUGACCGCAGCCUCAUGAGAGAUCCCGAGCCACAAUCUCACAGUCAGUCCACUUCUGGGUUUUCAAUCCUCAGAAAUUGUGUGAGAUAAUAAAUAUGUGUUAUUUUAA
Molecule: long non-coding RNA, 696 nt
Organism: Acinonyx jubatus (cheetah)
Lineage: Eukaryota; Metazoa; Chordata; Mammalia; Carnivora; Felidae
Exons: 3
Source: RefSeq, a predicted model, not a curated record